RNAcentral lists this ribosomal RNA (482 nucleotides) under uncultured bacterium. RNAcentral's name for it is "partial 16S ribosomal RNA". It matches the Rfam family "Bacterial small subunit ribosomal RNA", at positions 30 to 507 of the family's 1533-position model. The record is from RNAcentral.
AUUGAACGCUGGCGGCAUGCCUUACACAUGCAAGUCGAACGGUAACAGGUCUUCGGAUGCUGACGAGUGGCGAACGGGUGCGUAAUACAUCGGAACGUGCCCGAUCGUGGGGGAUAACGAGGCGAAAGCUUUGCUAAUACCGCAUACGACCUACGGAUGAAAGCGGGGGAUCUUCGGACCUCGCGCGGCCGGAGCGGCCGAUGGCAGAUUAGGUAGUUGGUGGGAUAAAAGCUUACCAAGCCGACGAUCUGUAGCUGGUCUGAGAGGAUGAUCAGCCACACUGGGACUGAGACACGGCCCAGACUCCUACGGGAGGCAGCAGUGGGGAAUUUUGGACAAUGGGCGAAAGCCUGAUCCAGCCAUGCCGCGUGCAGGAUGAAGGCCUUCGGGUUGUAAACUGCUUUUGUACGGAACGAAAAGCCUCUUUCUAAUACAGAGGGGUCAUGACGGUACCGUAAGAAUAAGCACCGGCUAACUACGUG